Molecule: ribosomal RNA, 231 nt
Filed under: uncultured bacterium
Lineage: Bacteria
Description: partial 16S ribosomal RNA
Rfam family: Bacterial small subunit ribosomal RNA
Source: RNAcentral
AGAAGAGUGGCGAACGGGUGAGGAACACGUAAGAAUCUGCCCCUCGGUCGGGGACAACUUUUGGAAACGAAAGCUAAUACCCGAUACGCUGUGGAGUGAAAGAAUUUCGCCGAGGGAUGAUCUUGCGUCUGAUUAGCUAGUUGGUGCGGUAAUGGCGCACCAAGGCGACGAUCAGUAGCUGGUCUGAGAGGAUGAACAGCCACAUUGGAACUGAGACACGGUCCAAACUCC